RNAcentral lists this transfer RNA (90 nucleotides) under Candidatus Zixiibacteriota bacterium. Its description in RNAcentral is "candidate division Zixibacteria bacterium (sediment metagenome) tRNA-Ser". It matches the Rfam family "tRNA". Rfam says of the family: Transfer RNA (tRNA) molecules are approximately 80 nucleotides in length. The record is from RNAcentral. Lineage: Bacteria; Pseudomonadati; Candidatus Zixiibacteriota.
GGAGGGUUGGCAGAGCUGGUUUAAUGCGGCGGUCUUGAAAACCGUUGGCUCCCGCAAAGGAGCCCGAAGGUUCGAAUCCUUCACCCUCCG